UCCCCUUUAUUGCCCAAGUUAGUUCAGUUUGGGUUUCUGUCACUUGUAAAGAAGACAGAUUCCCUAAAAGGACAUUCCAGUGGAAGCCUAGGGAGUGUGAAGAGUACUGUGAGGAUAGGACCUGCACCAGCUCUGCACUCUAUACAAGACUCAGAAUGCAAAUAGUGCCUGCCCUCCUCGUAAGCAACAAGGAGUUAAUGGUCUCUGUAGAAGAGAGAACAUCUGAGGAAGGACCAGGUUGACCUGGACAAGAUCUUGUUCCUGCAGGUAGAGGAGUUUCAAUCCAGCCCAAGACCAUCCAAACUCCAGCGGAAACCCUGUCUAUUUAUGGGACAAUGAGCGGACCAUCACACCACCUUCAGGACAAUGAGCUGCUGUGUGGAGUUACCGGCUGAAAGUAACAAGAAAAUUACUGAAGUGAUAUUCUUGUGCACAGUCGUCUUCUAUACCAUAGACCUAGAAUAACUUUAUCACUCAAAACUGAGGAAGAUGCAAUUGGGGAAAAUAUUCCAUGAGGGCACUUUGAUUUUUCUUUACAACACACUACCAAAUUACGUGACGGGCCCAUCGCGCAGGAAGCUUCUCACAGGCUGUGGAGAGCAGCCUGUCUGCUUUGAGAAGUGCAGAUCUAUCAGGAU
Mustela erminea (ermine) is the source of this 638-nucleotide long non-coding RNA. RefSeq lists it as uncharacterized. The record is from RefSeq and is a predicted model, not a curated record. Lineage: Eukaryota; Metazoa; Chordata; Mammalia; Carnivora; Mustelidae. The transcript is spliced from 6 exons.